AUUACAUAGUGUAUGUAGCGUAUGAUGUUCUCGUUGAAACUUUAUUUCAAGAAGAAAGAUAGUCGUUUUGUGCAAAUCCCUCCCACAGGUCGAAAAAUGUAUAUAAAGAAAUAAAGUUAUUGACUCGGAAGUUGUGAAUGUAACUAACCAGUGUUAAUAUAACAAUGAGGGAAGUGAACUGUUUGUGAAUACGACAUAGAUCCAAUAUUAAGGUGGACAAUUCUAAGGAACAGAUCAGUAAACGACGUCACGUUGUUUCACAGACGUGGGAUACUUGGCGAGAUACAAUUUCAUUGUUGUGUUCAAGGCUCUUAUGAUUAAAUUAGUGAGCGUCUGAAAUAAAGGUUAAGUUCACAUGCGAGUUUGGAGUUUUAUUUUAAUGACUCCGCAUCUAUAGUGUUGGAGAAAUGUAUUGUAACA
Danaus plexippus (monarch butterfly) is the source of this 420-nucleotide long non-coding RNA. RefSeq lists it as uncharacterized. The record is from RefSeq and is a predicted model, not a curated record. The transcript is spliced from 3 exons. NCBI's taxonomy places the organism in Eukaryota, Metazoa, Arthropoda, Insecta, Lepidoptera, Nymphalidae.